RNAcentral lists this ribosomal RNA (207 nucleotides) under uncultured bacterium. RNAcentral's name for it is "partial 16S ribosomal RNA". It matches the Rfam family "Bacterial small subunit ribosomal RNA", at positions 568 to 774 of the family's 1533-position model. The record is from RNAcentral.
CACGUAGGCGGCUUCUUAAGUCAGGGGUGAAAUCCUGGAGCUCAACUCCAGAACUGCCUUUGAUACUGAGGAGCUUGAGUUCGGGAGAGGUGAGUGGAACUGCGAGUGUAGAGGUGAAAUUCGUAGAUAUUCGCAAGAACACCAGUGGCGAAGGCGGCUCACUGGCCCGAUACUGACGCUGAGGUGCGAAAGCGUGGGGAGCAAACA